GAUGAACGCUAGCGGCAGGCCUAAUACAUGCAAGUCGAACGGAUAUAUGUUUUUCGGAAUAUAUAUUAGUGGCGCACGGGUGAGUAACACGUACAUAACUUGCCCUCAAGCGGGGGAUAGCCUUGGGAAACUGAGAGUAAUACCCCAUAGAAUUAUUGGACGGCAUCGUUUGAUAAUUAAAACUACGGUGUUUGGGGAUAGAUGUGCGUCUGAUUAGCUAGUUGGUGAGGUAACUGCUCACCAAGGCGACGAUCAGUAGGGGGCGUGAGAGCGUGGCCCCCCACACGGGUACUGAGACACGGACCCGACUCCUACGGGAGGCAGCAGUAAGGAAUAUUGGUCAAUGGAGGGAACUCUGAACCAGCCAUGCCGCGUGAAGGACGACGGCCCUCUGGGUUGUAAACUUCUUUUGGAUGGGGCGAAAAAACGGGAUUUAUCCUGGACUGACGGUACCAUCAGAAUAAGCACCGGCUAACUCCGUG
RNAcentral lists this ribosomal RNA (482 nucleotides) under uncultured bacterium. Its description in RNAcentral is "bacterial SSU rRNA". It matches the Rfam family "Bacterial small subunit ribosomal RNA", at positions 28 to 507 of the family's 1533-position model. The record is from RNAcentral.